GAGAAACCUGCCCCGGAGACUGGGACAACCAUUGGAAACGAUGGCUAAUACCGGAUGUCCUCAGAUGGUCGCAUGACCGACUGAGGAAAUGCUCUGGCGCUCUGGGAGGGUCUCGCGGCCUAUCAGUUAGUUGGUGGGGUAACGGCCCACCAAGACAUCGACGGGUAGCUGGUCUGAGAGGACGAUCAGCCACACUGGGACUGAGACACGGCCCAG
RNAcentral lists this ribosomal RNA (216 nucleotides) under uncultured bacterium. Its description in RNAcentral is "partial 16S ribosomal RNA". It matches the Rfam family "Bacterial small subunit ribosomal RNA", at positions 119 to 334 of the family's 1533-position model. The record is from RNAcentral.